Molecule: small nuclear RNA, 105 nt
Filed under: Erinaceus europaeus (western European hedgehog)
Lineage: Eukaryota; Metazoa; Chordata; Mammalia; Eulipotyphla; Erinaceidae
Source: RNAcentral
AUGCUUCAUUCAGCAGCAUACAUAAUAAUGCUGGGACAGGAUACAGGAUUAGCAUGGCUCAUGCACAAGCAGAACAUACAAAUUAAUAAAGUGUUCCAUAUUAUA